ACGAACGCUGGCGGCCUGCCUAACACCUGCCAGUCGCACGAGACCUUCGGGUCUAGUGGCGCACGGGUGCGUAACGCGUGGGAACCUGCCCUUAGGUUCGGAAUAACUCCCCGAAAGGGGUGCUAAUACCGGAUAAUGUCUUCGGACCAAAGAUUUAUCGCCUUUGGAUGGGCCCGCGUUGGAUUAGCUAGUUGGUAGGGUAAAAGCCUACCAAGGCGACGAUCCAUAGCUGGUCUGAGAGGAUGAUCAGCCACACUGGGACUGAGACACGGCCCAGACUCCUACGGGAGGCAGCAGUGGGGAAUAUUGGACAAUGGGCGAAAGCCUGAUCCAGCAAGGCCGCGUGAGUGAUGAAGGCCUUAGGGUUGUAAAGCUCUUUUACCCGGGAUGAUAAUGACAGUACCGGGAGAAUAAGCUCCGGCCAACUCCGUG
Molecule: ribosomal RNA, 432 nt
Filed under: uncultured bacterium
Lineage: Bacteria
Description: partial 16S ribosomal RNA
Rfam family: Bacterial small subunit ribosomal RNA
Source: RNAcentral